Long non-coding RNA from Cynoglossus semilaevis (tongue sole), 739 nucleotides. RefSeq lists it as uncharacterized. The transcript has 3 exons. The record is from RefSeq and is a predicted model, not a curated record. Lineage: Eukaryota; Metazoa; Chordata; Actinopteri; Pleuronectiformes; Cynoglossidae.
AUAUUUUGUAUUUGGAGUUUUUUAUCCAAUCAUAUCUCAGCCUCGUGUUGCCAGGGUCAACUAAAUCUGCCCUAAGGCCUUCACAAUCAGAAGUGCUGGCGCUGGAAGUAUAAAAUGAAUAGCAACAAGAUGGUUUCAUUAACCAAUCAGGUCAUGGCAUCAAACUGGCAUAUCAAGGCUUGUAUUGGCGAUUUGAGUGAUUUGAUUGGUUGGUCAGAGAACUCACAGCCUUUGAUCUACCGAACUUCACCCAGCAACUCCCGCGACUUGAAGAUGAACUUUUCUCUGCGUCCACCGAGAACAUUCUCAGCCUGAAGCGAGUUAAAACUUAUUCCAUAAAUACGAAAGGACAGGCUGGACAUUGGUCGUUAGCUUGGAAGGAGAAAGAAAAGUCAAACUAGUUGUUAGAACUGGAGCUCACGGAUAAUCUGUACAACAGCGUCACUGAACUCAUCUCAAGAGGAGGAGGGAUUUGGUGAACAACGAACCAGGAGAGUUGAUCCUGACAGUAGUCCCUGCAGGAGAACCUGAAGAACCACAGCUGUUAGAAGAUCUGAUGUUCUCCGUGUGGAGACUGAGACACGACAGUAACGCUCUGAGGUGUCAGCUACAGCCACAAGAGGUCACACCUGAGUCCUGCUCUACCUUAAGGUCACACACACACACACACACACACACAGCUUCCUGCUGCUGUUCAUAACCACAGGUGAUGUCGUCAGGUUAAGGCUUGGACUGAGAG